This 377-nucleotide ribosomal RNA is filed under the name uncultured cyanobacterium. RNAcentral's name for it is "bacterial SSU rRNA". It matches the Rfam family "Bacterial small subunit ribosomal RNA", at positions 376 to 770 of the family's 1533-position model. The record is from RNAcentral. Lineage: Bacteria; Bacillati; Cyanobacteriota.
CGAAAGCCUGACGGAGCAAUACCGCGUGCGGGAGGACGCUUUUUGGAGUGUAAACCGCUUUUCUCAAGGAAGAUGAUGACGGUACUUGAGGAAUCAGCAUCGGCUAACUUCGUGCCAGCAGCCGCGGUAAUACGAGGGAUGCAAGCGUUAUCCGGAAUUAUUGGGCGUAAAGCGUCCGCAGGUGGCAAUGUAAGUCUGCUGUCAAAACCCAGGGCUCAACUCUGGUCAGGCAGUGGAAACUACAUAGCUAGAGUUCGGUAGGGGCAAAGGGAAUUCCCGGUGUAGCGGUGAAAUGCGUAGAGAUCGGGAAGAACAUCGGUGGCGAAAGCGCUUUGCUAGACCGAAACUGACACUCAGGGACGAAAGCUAGGGGAGCG